Molecule: ribosomal RNA, 253 nt
Filed under: uncultured bacterium
Lineage: Bacteria
Description: partial 16S ribosomal RNA
Rfam family: Bacterial small subunit ribosomal RNA
Source: RNAcentral
CACGUAGGGUGCGAGCGUUGUCCGGAAUUACUGGGCGUAAAGAGCUCGUAGGUGGUUUGUCGCGUUGUCCGUGAAAACUCACAACUCAAUUGUGGGCGUGCGGGCGAUACGGGCAGACUGGAGUACUGCAGGGGAGACUGGAAUUCCUGGUGUAGCGGUGGAAUGCGCAGAUAUCAGGAGGAACACCGGUGGCGAAGGCGGGUCUCUGGGCAGUAACUGACGCUGAGGAGCGAAAGCGUGGGGAGCGAACAGG